This 558-nucleotide long non-coding RNA is filed under the name Androctonus crassicauda. Lineage: Eukaryota; Metazoa; Arthropoda; Arachnida; Scorpiones; Buthidae. The record is from RNAcentral.
AAGAGGGUAUGGGACAAUAUUGGAUAAUCCAUUGGGCUCUGGAGUCAUCAAAAGGUUAAGAAUCCCUACUCUAGUCAAAAUUGCUCUAGGUAACAAACAACACAGCAUGUCAAUCUGUAUUAAUGGAAACUUUAUAAAAAGUUUCCAUUUGGCAACUGGCUUCUUCUUUAGGCUCUCUAAAAAAAAGCAAUAUUUAGGUUUUUUUAUAACAUUUAAUGCUACUUAUAUGAGUAGAAAUUAUUUUGUCAUCUAUGUGUUAACAUAUUUUAAUCUGACUCCAAUUGAAUUGAACCUGAGCUUCAACAACAUUGUGGCGUUGGAGUUGUGGAGUCUGAGUUGAAGCAAUUUUGUAUAGAUUCAGUAAAAAUGUACCAAUUCUGAUCUAGAUACAGAAAUUUCUUUUGUUUUCCUUUUACAAAGUCAUUAAUUUUCUUUGAAAUGUUAAUUUUUUCCGUUAUAAAGAAAAACUUGCUGCAAUAGAGUUAAAUUUAUUUUCAGCACUACUAAGCAGACCAAGGCUACAAAUCAUCAAAAACACUUUAUUCAGCAGAGGAGCGC